AAGAGUUUGAUCCUGGCUCAGGAUGAACGCUAGCGGCAGGCCUAAUACAUGCAAGUCGAGGGAGAAGUUGUCUUCGGAUGACGGGAACCGGCGAACGGGUGCGUAACACGUAUGCAAUCUGCCCCUGACUGGAGCAUAGCCCGGGGAAACUCGGAUUAAUACUCCAUAACAUUAUGAAAUGGCAUCAUUUUAUAAUCAAAGUUCCGACGGUCAGGGAUGGGCAUGCGGCCCAUUAGCUUGUUGGUGAGGUAACGGCUCACCAAGGCAACGAUGGGUAGCUGGUCUGAGAGGAUGAUCAGCCACACGGGCACUGAGAUACGGGCCCGACUCCUACGGGAGGCAGCAGUAGGGAAUAUUGGUCAAUGGACGCAAGUCUGAACCAGCCAUCCCGCGUGCAGGAUGACAGCCCUAUGGGUUGUAAACUGCUUUUAUUGGGGAAGAAACUCCACUAUGUAUAGCGGACUGACGGUACCAUACGAAUAAGGAUCGGCUAACUCCGUGCCAGCAGCCGCGGUAAUACGGAGGAUCCAAGCGUUAUCCGGAUUUAUUGGGUUUAAAGGGUGCGCAGGCGGACUAAUAAGUCAGUGGUGAAAUCUCUCGGCUCAACCGAGAAACUGCCAUUGAAACUGCUAGUCUUGAGUACAGUUGUAGUGGGCGGAAUAUAUCAUGUAGCGGUGAAAUGCUUAGAUAUGACAUAGAACACCAAUUGCGAAGGCAGCUCACUAAACUGUAACUGACGCUCAGGCACGAAAGCGUGGGGGGCAAACAGGAUUAGAUACCCUGGUAGUCCACGCCGUAAACGAUGAUUACUCGAUGUUGGCAAUACACUGUCAGUGUCCAAGCGAAAGUGUUAAGUGAUCCACCUGGGGAGUACGGUCGCAAGAUUGAAACUCAAAGGAAUUGACGGGGGCCCGCACAAGCGGUGGAGCAUGUGGUUUAAUUCGAUGAUACGCGAGGAACCUUACCAGGGCUUUAAAUGCUAGUGACCGCUACCGAAAGGUAGCUUCUCUUCGGAGCACGAAGCAAGGUGCUGCAUGGCUGUCGUCAGCUCGUGCCGUGAGGUGUUGGGUUAAGUCCCGCAACGAGCGCAACCCCUAUCUUUAGUUGCCAACAGGUUAUGCUGGGGACUCUAAAGAGACUGCCUAUGCAAAUAGUGAGGAAGGUGGGGACGACGUCAAGUCAUCAUGGCCCUUACGUCCAGGGCUACACACGUGCUACAAUGGCAGAUACAAUGAGCAGCCACUUGGUGACAAGGAGCAAAUCUCAAAAAGUCUGUCUCAGUUCGGAUUGAAGUCUGCAACUCGACUUCAUGAAGGCGGAUUCGCUAGUAAUCGCAUAUCAGCAAUGAUGCGGUGAAUACGUUCCCGGGCCUUGUACACACCGCCCGUCAAGCCAUGGAAGCUGGGGGUGCCUAAAGUCCGUAACCGAAAGGAGCGGCCUAGGGUAAAACUGGUAACUAGGGCUAAGUCGUAACAAGGUAACCGUA
This 1486-nucleotide ribosomal RNA is filed under the name uncultured prokaryote. Its description in RNAcentral is "partial 16S ribosomal RNA". It matches the Rfam family "Bacterial small subunit ribosomal RNA". The record is from RNAcentral.